This is a long non-coding RNA of Osmia lignaria (orchard mason bee), 4309 nucleotides long. RefSeq lists it as uncharacterized. The record is from RefSeq and is a predicted model, not a curated record. NCBI's taxonomy places the organism in Eukaryota, Metazoa, Arthropoda, Insecta, Hymenoptera, Megachilidae.
AAUUCCAUCCUAUAACGAAGGCGAUGAAUUCUCCUACUGUGACGUAACUGUAGACGUAUGCCGAACCUGCCUUUGGAACUCUGGAAGCGAAUUCUGCGUAGCACAUCCCUGAAAUUUAAACAGUCAGAUUAAGUCUGGAUGAUUAAUUUACCCGCAAACGCGGAAGCGAUGGCAGCGAUAAGGAAAGAGAUACAGACAGCUGGGCCAGCCGUCGAUUGGGCUAUGCUACCAGCGAGGACGUAGACUCCAAUACCGAGUGUAGAGCCCACGCCUAGGGCCGUCAGAUCAAAAAGGCCUAGAACCCGAGCCAAUUCACCCUUGCUGUCCUGGCUGUCGUCGACGCGUCUUCGGGACAGCGCCUUCCACAAACGGUUCGCCAUCCCGAGUCCUCUUCUUCGCUUUCAAUCACAGUACAAUAAGCACGUGGAACGAUGAAAAUUUUGCAAAGUGAUCGAUGAUAAUAGACUGUAUAGUGCAAAGUUCUGCGCGUCGAUAAGCGUUCAACACGAUAACAGUAUUAUUUCAUCAAUACGAAAUUCAAUAAAAAUAUUUUUCGAUUAUGCGAUGACAAUGAUCAGAGUACAGUUGAGAAAGACAACGAGUCAUUUCAACAAGAAUAUCUUUUGUUUAUGUACAUAAAUGUGGAAUACAUGUGUUUCUGAUUAACAUCAAUAAUGUUAGUAUCACAGAUAUAUGGAAGAUCAAGACACCAGGAAAAAUACAGACUGUAUGUCUUUAACAGUUAUUCAAAAUUAUUAGAGCGACGACAAAUUACCAGCAAAUAUUCAAAUUUUUGUUUCGAUAAAUUUACCUUUUAACAAAUGUUUGUAAAUGAACAGUUACUGAAUAUUGAAUUAACAUCGAGUUACAAUAAGACACGAAUUUUCUCUUCUUGGAAGAUGAAUUAUUUUAACAAACAAUUUGCAGCUACUGUAUGAACAACUUCAAAACUACUAGAAGCAAAAAUGACUUUUCCUUUCGAGACAACUUCUACUGGGUAUUACUGGAUAGAAAGGUCAACAGAAUUUCUUGUAAUUGCAACACAGACUGCAACAUUUUUACCCAUUAAUACCUGUCACCAUAAAUAAGCGAGCGUGUCUCAAAAUUCUCAAACAAGAAUUUGCUUGAUUUGCAAAUUUACAUUAACAAUAAUGUUUUUUCACGCGGACGCACAACGAAUCGUGAAAUUUCAGGUCAUUUUUUGUGAAAAUCUAUUUAAAAUGCGUUACUGCAUCACAGGGGAUGCGUUAACACGCAAAUCUUUUUAUUAGCAUAAUUUUGAGCGGCUCGGAUGAAUGCUGCUAAUCAACUACGACUGGUUGGGUACCGAGAAUUCCGUAUUAAACCAGUCACCAAGAUUUCCCGAUUAAUCUUUUUUCGGAAAGGUUUUGGAAUAUUCCAAACCGGGGCUUAAUAUAAAAAAAUAUAGGUCAUAGUUUUGCAAAUUUUAAACCACACCGGUGUCACAGAUGAUUAAAACAAAGUACUGUGAAUCAAGACACGUGGAUAUCUAUACAAUUCGUAUUUUUUUUACAGUAUUAUCUGAACAAGUAUCAUCAAGGUUCCUCGAUCAUUCACCUUCUUAGCGAAUCACCUUGAUCCCUUUAAGAAUGAUCGUGAUCGGUGAUUUAAAGAAACAGGGAACACCGGUGCGGUUACGUAUUUACAGUUCUACGUGGAACGCAUCUCAAUAGAAUUCUACGAUAAUUACGGUAAUUACAGGAAUAUCCUGUAAUUACACACUUAACGACACGCUCGCUGGUAGAUGAUCAAAAUGAAAAGGAAUAUGCGUCUAGCUGAUUCUGCUAUCUUGGUCGUCGCUCUUCCUGGCAAGAAAUUCUUUUAUCGAAAUUGCAAAUAGUCGGAGGAAGAAAGUGAAAUCGUCUUUCUCAAUGUUUGUUCCUGUAACAUCCACGUGUGUAUUUGACCAGGUAAUCUCGUAUCUGAAGAAUAAAUUAAAUGUCAGGAUAGUGAUACUACUGAAAAUUAAUUGUAAUUAUUCUAAUUUGUUACCUUGGGAAGUAAGUACGGUUUUAAUAUACUACUUGAAAAUUUUCUUGAAUUUCCUGGUACCAAUUACCAGUGACCUUUAUAACUUUCAAGAAUUGUAAAACCUUUCGUUUGUGCGACUCGGCUGAAAUUUUCGGAUGCCGUGUGACAUUGGAGCAAAGGGGAGCCAAACAAAACGUAUAUAUCGUCGGUGUUGGACAACGUGACAAGGUUACAGGCCAAUUAAGGCGAGGCACCGUGAUACUGUGUCCCCAUUGCAUGAUCCCCUCGAAUGACACCUCAAUAUAAUCUUCAUAUUUUAUUUACGAUAUGUACGUGGGCCAAUUGCGGGUUUCACCAAUCCCCAAAAUUGAUGUCACUUCCUUCCAGCAACGAUUAAUCAUUUUUUUGCAACGUGUUAGGGAUGAGGGAUGAAUUUUUGGGUAGACUAUUAAAUCAAUAUGUGCAAGUAUUUUAGAAUGGCAAUGAGUAAAUUAGUGGGCCACAUCUGACCUAGUAAAUACACAUGACCCCCAUAGGGCAGGUAUGUGUGGGAUUUGAAACCCAAUAAAGCGGAAGUGAAAAGAAGAGAAUAGCUAAGAUAAUAAAAAAUGUCUGUGUGUAAGAAUCCUAUCUAAGAAUGUAUAUCAUUUCUUUAGAACUCUCGAGUGACAGAUAUCCUACGUAACACUGAUUGAUCGAGUUUGCCCUAAGGAGAUACACAUGAAUAAAAUGAUAAUCUUCAGAGUGUAAAGUAGACCGAGUCAAUAGAAACGUCGUAUCUCGUCUUGAACAGAUAAACAGGUAGAUGUUGUGAAUUUUCGAACAGAAGAGGAAGAGAGAUUUGAGGUCAAAGGAAAGUCCGAAUUAACGGGUUUCGGAUUAACUUCGUGAAAUCGGCACGAAGACGUCGUUGUUUGGGAUAUGGCAACGAGAUAGAAUCUUUGAUUCGAUUUUUGAAUUUAGAUGAAAAUUAUUGGAGUUGAACUGAAAUCUGGAUUAACGAGUUCCAAUCGUGUGUACCGUCUCUCCAUGUUACCAUUGCUCGACGAACCGUUUCCGUUAAACGUCUCUAUGAAAUAUUAGACUGUUCCAGAAGUCUGUAGUAAAUAUUUCUAUUAAGGAAGUAAUAUUAAUAUUAGCAAUAUUAAUUAAGGGACCGAUGGGGUUCAUCUUAAUGUUAGCCAUUCUCUAAGUCUUAUUAUCAUAACUUAAGAGAGGAAACAAAAUAAGAACCCAUUCGUUUUUUGGGAGGCCGAUCCUUGAGGACCGGCGGGGUCCGAACGGAAAGUCUAACGUGGCGUUUAACGUGUUAAUCCUCCCUCAACAAAUGUAACAGGAGAUUGCUCUCAAACGACCAAACGAUAAAAGUGUAAUAUUUAAAUAACAACAGAAUCGAUUAGCAGGUGUGCGUUGAUAGAUCGAUCAGGUAUAAAUUGAUCUGAACAACAAUUUUGUCCUUCAUAGUGCGGAACAUACAUAAUGUAUACUGCGAUCCUUGAAAUUGUAACGUGUCUGACAACAUUCGUGUUUCAAAGCAGGAACAAGAAUAUUUUCACUUUUGUGACGGUCGAUACACUAAAACAAAAAGAGAGAAAGAGAAGUAUGAAAAUAGAGGUACAAGUGAUUGUAAACAUGAAAAACGACCGUAAUUCACGGCUCGGGUAACUGGUGUCAUAAUAAACGAGGGAGAUCCACUUUUUCCGCGAACAACCGACAAUCGUGUGACAUUAAGGAAAAGUGGCUAUGCGAUGUCGCAAUACUGAUUCUUGAAGAAAAACGCCUUUUUUAAGAUACACUUAUCCUUAGCCGGAGUAUCGAAUGUUACGCGUGCAACCACUCCGAUUGCUACGAGGAUUGAAAGCGCUAACGAAAGAGAAAGGAAUUCUUUCGCUCUUCGUGCGGUAUAAUUAAAAUGGAAAAAGAAAAUCACGAAUGGAUUUGAAGAGCGUCACGCUUGAACUUUAAAUAUUUCAUUGAAAUAUGCAAAUGUAAUCAAAAUUAAUUAUACCUUAAGUAAUUGAAUUUAAUUUUCUGUUAAUAUUACACCUAAUGUGGGUCAACUUCGUAUCGUUAUUUCCUUUUUUCUAUGCUAGUUAAGUUUGACCACCUUUGCAUAUCUUACAUAGGACCAUAUUCUUUGUGAAAUAUUGUUUUGUAUCAGGAAUUAUUGUAUCAUGAAACUUGUAUCUGUGGACACUGCAUGUCACAGAUAAUCUCAAAAUUCCUCAGUAUCGUUUUUUUCUUUUACAUAAAACGGUGAGCGUGAGAUUAAAAUUUGAAUGACAAUCUAAAAAAAAAAAAAAAAAAAAAUUUGUAA